UCCAGACUAUAUUUUAGUAUUACCAGAUGAUCCAUACUAUAUUUUGUCGAUGAGGAAAUAGUAUAUUCAGUCAUUAGGUCUACCAUCCACGUGGACCUGAAUUAGUUCAAAAUUGUUGGGGGUUUUAUCUAUAUAUUUCACAGGCAAGACAUUAUUAUUUGUGGUGAACCAUGAAGAACAAGGGGCUGAUAAUAUAGAAAAGUUCGAAUUUAUUUCUGAAAAUAAACAGCUGAAACAUGUGAAACGAUAUCGUGAUGAUACGAUGAUUCUUGUUAAUGAUGUUCAAGCUACCAGCGAAGAUAACUUCUAUUUUACAAACUCCGCAACUGAAUGGAAUCAGCCUUGGUGGUUUGUGAUGUUUUGUCGCUUGGCAUGGAAUACUGUGGUAUAUUUUGAUGGCAGUAACUAUAAGAUAGUAUUAGAUGAUCUAUUUGUAGCCAAUGGUAUAGCAAUGUCUAACGAUGGAAGAGAUGUGUAUAUUGCCAAUAUAAUGAACCGAGAAAUAGUUGUAGCAGAAAGAAAACCAAACAAUGAUCUAAUUAAAAAACAGGUUUAUCCAGUUUAUACAUAUCCAGAUAAUAUUAUAGUCCAUAUGAAAACAGAUAAUCUAUAUAUUGGCUGCCAUCCUUUUAUCUAUAAAAUACAUCAAGCCAUGGAAUACCCCGACUACCAUUCACCCUCACAGGUUUUGAUGUUAUAUGUUAAAGAUGGAAACAUAACGAAGACAAAAGAAUUAUUUUAUAAUGACGGAGAUUUAAUAACAGGGUCUUCAGUAGCCAUUGUUUUUAAUUCUAAAUUACUCAUAGGUUCCGUUUUAGAUAAAACUGUUUUAUGUGAUGUCAAUGUACCUUUGUAAAUAUAGAGAUUCAUCUGUAAUUACAGAGAUUCACCUGUAAAUUAAAC
This is a long non-coding RNA of Patella vulgata (common limpet), 903 nucleotides long. RefSeq lists it as uncharacterized. NCBI's taxonomy places the organism in Eukaryota, Metazoa, Mollusca, Gastropoda, Patellidae. The transcript is spliced from 5 exons. The record is from RefSeq and is a predicted model, not a curated record.